Molecule: ribosomal RNA, 435 nt
Filed under: uncultured bacterium
Lineage: Bacteria
Description: partial 16S ribosomal RNA
Rfam family: Bacterial small subunit ribosomal RNA
Source: RNAcentral
AGCGAACGCUGGCGGCAGGCUUAACACAUGCAAGUCGAGCGGGCGUAGCAAUACGUCAGCGGCAGACGGGUGAGUAACGCGUGGGAACGUACCUUUUGGUUCGGAACAACACAGGGAAACUUGUGCUAAUACCGGAUAAGCCCUUACGGGGAAAGAUUUAUCGCCGAAAGAUCGGCCCGCGUCUGAUUAGCUAGUUGGUGAGGUAACGGCUCACCAAGGCGACGAACAGUAGCUGGUCUGAGAGGAUGAUCAGCCACAUUGGGACUGAGACACGGCCCAAACUCCUACGGGAGGCAGCAGUGGGGAAUAUUGGACAAUGGGGGCAACCCUGAUCCAGCCAUGCCGCGUGAGUGAUGAAGGCCCUAGGGUUGUAAAGCUCUUUUGUGCGGGAAGAUAAUGACGGUACCGCAAGAAUAAGCCCCGGCUAACUUCGUG